RNAcentral lists this transfer-messenger RNA (318 nucleotides) under Rickettsiaceae bacterium. It matches the Rfam family "Alphaproteobacteria transfer-messenger RNA". From Rfam's summary of the family: Bacterial tmRNA, also known as 10Sa RNA or SsrA, is named for its dual tRNA and mRNA-like properties. Its role is to liberate the mRNA from a stalled ribosome. To accomplish this part of the tmRNA is used as a reading frame that ends in a translation stop signal. Lineage: Bacteria; Pseudomonadati; Pseudomonadota; Alphaproteobacteria; Rickettsiales; Rickettsiaceae. The record is from RNAcentral.
UACUUUACAGUAUGUAGGUAUGUACGUUAUAAUACGUAGUUGCUACUAAAUUGUAGCUAUGGUAAUAAACGUUGUUCGAAAUAAGAACUUCGGACCCGGGGGCGGUACCCGGCGCUUCCACCAUUUAUUUAUGGGAGCGAAAUAGGAUCGACGAGUUUAGUAAAGGGAUAAUUUUUACCCAGUAUGAUUCCGCUGGAUCUUUUGAUCUUGGGUCAAAAAAAGUAAAUGCAAACGAUAAUAAUCGCUUGUCGGCUGUUGCUGCUUAAUUGUAUCUAGCCACGGGGUUGGGGACUUACCUGGCAACAGAAAAGUCCUAUU